AAACAAGGCAGUGUGGCGCUGAGUGCUGAGCAGUGACAAGCAUGAAACAGUGCUGAGACAGAAGUAGUGAUGUGAAUACAGCCCUUCAUCUUGAGAAUUCCUCUAUGUGAUGUGUGGCACCAGGGCCACUCUGACACAUCAGCAGAUGGAGGUGACUUGUAAAGGAAAAGUGAGAUUCCGCAAGCACAUAAAAGACAAAGGCAGAGCCGGGGGAAGAAACAAGGAGAAAAGGGUGGACAGGACUGGAAAUUGGGAAGCAGGCCCUGCCUAGCAGUGUCCCCAGUCUGGAUGCCAACCUGCCUGGGAAAGCACAAGGAAGAGCCACCUGCUCUGGGCACACCAGGGGAGAGCAGAGGCUGCUCCAUCCCAGCGGCAACACCAAAAAGAUCCAAGCAUGAAAACCUGGACUCAGUCUGUUCUGGUAUUUACUGGAACCACAAAUGCUUGAGCCACAUGGAUCCCUGCCUACAGAACUAGAUAAAGUUAUGAAAGGUCCAUGAGCCAAGUCUCUCCAAGUUUUUUCCCACUCUGCAAAUGCCAAACAAGCUGAGGAGGCAGAGGAAGACAUUGAGAAAGCUAAAGCAAAGAAUAAACUUACUGCUAAUGCUGUAUCAUUUUCUCCAGAAAAAUGAUAUGCCAGACUUAAGCAAUAGACUGCUUCUCCAUGCAUCUUUAUAUCACCUCCUAUAGGAAAGGUAAAAGGUAGAGUUACCAGCAUGAUCUGAACAAAAUUACAUUGGUACAGACAGCUCUUGCAGGUUCUUAAACAAGAUACAGAUGUCAAAAUACUGUAGUAAUUUUUUUCCUUUCCUUACCCCCCCCAUGUAUCUCUUUCUGAAAACAUACAGUAGUAAUUAAAAAUAAAGGCAAUGGAGUUCACCAAGGAAGUUAAGCAAAGUCAGAGAAAAUAUCUUCCAGUAAUAAAGUACAAUCAAACUAACAUGUG
Molecule: long non-coding RNA, 946 nt
Organism: Zonotrichia leucophrys gambelii
Lineage: Eukaryota; Metazoa; Chordata; Aves; Passeriformes; Passerellidae
Exons: 3
Source: RefSeq, a predicted model, not a curated record